RNAcentral lists this non-coding RNA (27 nucleotides) under Rattus norvegicus (Norway rat). The record is from RNAcentral. Lineage: Eukaryota; Metazoa; Chordata; Mammalia; Rodentia; Muridae.
UCUCAUUGCUAUCAAAAAUCGUUGGGU